This 378-nucleotide ribosomal RNA is filed under the name uncultured eukaryote. RNAcentral describes it as "partial 18S ribosomal RNA". It matches the Rfam family "Eukaryotic small subunit ribosomal RNA", at positions 592 to 976 of the family's 1831-position model. The record is from RNAcentral.
CAAUAGCGUAUAUUUAAGUUGUUGCAGUUAAAAAGCUCGUAGUUGGAUUUCGGGUGGGACGCAGCGGUCUCGCAUUGCGUUUGUACUGCUGCAGCCCUCCUUCUUGCCGGGGGCGGCCUCUCGGACUUCACUGUCUGGGGGUCAGAAUCGGCGAUGUUACUUUGAGUAAAUUAGAGUGUUCAAAGCAAGCUUACGCUCUGAAUAUAAUAGCAUGGGAUAACACGACGGGACUCUGGCCUAUCGUGUUGGUCUAUAGGACCAGAGUAAUGAUUAAGAGGGACAGUCGGGGGCAUUCGUAUUCCGUUGUCAGAGGUGAAAUUCUUGGAUUUACGGAAGACGAACAUCUGCGAAAGCAUUUGCCAAGGAUGUUUUCAUUGA